This 384-nucleotide ribosomal RNA is filed under the name uncultured eukaryote. Its description in RNAcentral is "SSU rRNA". It matches the Rfam family "Eukaryotic small subunit ribosomal RNA", at positions 587 to 972 of the family's 1831-position model. The record is from RNAcentral.
AGCUCCAAUAGCGUAUAUUAAAGUUGUUGCAGUUAAAAAGCUCGUAGUUGGAUUUCUGGUAGGAGGAAUCAGUCCAGCACUAUGUGUGGGAAUUUGUAUCCUGUCGGGCCAUCCAUGGGUGGAUCUUGUCUAGCAUUAAGUUGUCAGUCAGGGUAUGCCCAUCGUUUACUGUGAAAAAAUUAGAUUGUUCAAAGUAGGCUUAUGCUAUUGAAUCUAUUAUCAUGGAAUAAUAAGAUAGGGCCCUGGUACUAUUUUGUUAGUUUGCGUACCGAGUUAGUGAUUAAUAGGGACAGUUGGGGGUAUUCAGUACUCAGUAUUCAGUGGUGAAAUACUUAGACCUACAGAAGACAAAAUACUGCAAAAAAAUUCACGAGGAUGUUUUCA